This 253-nucleotide ribosomal RNA is filed under the name uncultured bacterium. Its description in RNAcentral is "partial 16S ribosomal RNA". It matches the Rfam family "Bacterial small subunit ribosomal RNA", at positions 524 to 776 of the family's 1533-position model. The record is from RNAcentral.
UACAGAGGUCUCAAGCGUUGUUCGGAUUCAUUGGGCGUAAAGGGUGCGUAGGUGGCGCGUUAAGUCAGGUGUGAAAUUUCGGAGCUUAACUUCGAAACUGCAUUCGAUACUGCCGUGCUUGAGGACUGGAGAGGAGACUGGAAUUUACGGUGUAGCGGUGAAAUGCGUAGAUAUCGUAAGGAAGACCAGUGGCGAAGGCGGCGACCUGGUUCGAUACUGACACUGAGGUGCGAAAGCGUGGGGAGCAAACAGG